AUACGUAGGGUGCAAGCGUUAAUCGGAAUUACUGGGCGUAAAGCGUGCGCAGGCGGUUUUGUAAGACAGUGGUGAAAUCCCCGGGCUCAACCUGGGAACUGCCAUUGUGACUGCAAGGCUGGAGUGCGGCAGAGGGGGAUGGAAUUCCGGGUGUAGCCGUGGAAUGCGUAGAUAUGCGGAGGAACACCGAUGGCGAAGGCAAUCCCCUGGGCCUGCACUGACGCUCAUGCACGAAAGCGUGGGGAGCAAACAGGAUUAGAUACCCUGGUAGUCCACGCCCUAAACGAUGUCAACUGGUUGUUGGGGAUUUAUUUUCUCAGUAACGAAGCUAACGCGUGAAGUUGACCGCCUGGGGAGUACGGCCGCAAGGUUAAAACUCAAAUGAAUUGACGGGG
Molecule: ribosomal RNA, 395 nt
Filed under: uncultured bacterium
Lineage: Bacteria
Description: partial 16S ribosomal RNA
Rfam family: Bacterial small subunit ribosomal RNA
Source: RNAcentral